RNAcentral lists this ribosomal RNA (456 nucleotides) under uncultured organism. RNAcentral describes it as "bacterial SSU rRNA". It matches the Rfam family "Bacterial small subunit ribosomal RNA", at positions 346 to 794 of the family's 1533-position model. The record is from RNAcentral.
GUGCAGCAGUCGCGAAUUUUUCUCAAUGGGCGAAAGCCUGAAGGAGCGACGCCGCGUGGGGGAUGAAUGGCUUCGGCCCGUAAACCCCUGUCAUUUGUGAACAAAUUGUUUCACCUAACACAUGAAGCAUUGAUAGUAACGGAAGAGGAAGGGACGGCUAACUCUGUGCCAGCAGCCGCGGUAAUACAGAGGUCCCGAGCGUUGUUCGGAUUCACUGGGCGUAAAGGGUGCGUAGGCGGUUGGGUAAGUCUGACGUGAAAUCCCCGGGCCUAACCCGGAAACUGCGUUGGAUACUAUCCGGCUAGAGGAAUGGAGGGGAGACUGGAAUACUUGGUGUAGCAGUGAAAUGCGUAGAUAUCAAGUGGAACACCAGUGGCGAAGGCGAGUCUCUGGACAUUUCCUGACGCUGAGGCACGAAAGCCGAGGGGAGCAAACGGGAUUAGAUACCCGGGUAGU